Molecule: transfer RNA, 86 nt
Organism: Pirellula staleyi DSM 6068
Lineage: Bacteria; Pseudomonadati; Planctomycetota; Planctomycetia; Pirellulales; Pirellulaceae
Rfam family: tRNA
About the family: Transfer RNA (tRNA) molecules are approximately 80 nucleotides in length. Their secondary structure includes four short double-helical elements and three loops (D, anti-codon, and T loops). Further hydrogen bonds mediate the characteristic L-shaped molecular structure. tRNAs have two regions of fundamental functional importance: the anti-codon, which is responsible for specific mRNA codon recognition, and the 3' end, to which the tRNAs corresponding amino acid is attached (by aminoacyl-tRNA synthetases). tRNAs cope with the degeneracy of the genetic code in two manners: having more than one tRNA (with a specific anti-codon) for a particular amino acid; and 'wobble' base-pairing, i.e. permitting non-standard base-pairing at the 3rd anti-codon position.
Source: Rfam
GGCCGGAUGGCGGAAUAGGCAGACGCACAGGACUUAAAAUCCUGUGUCCCGUUAGGGACGUACGGGUUCGAUCCCCGUUCCGGCUA